This 588-nucleotide ribosomal RNA is filed under the name uncultured archaeon. RNAcentral's name for it is "bacterial SSU rRNA". It matches the Rfam family "Archaeal small subunit ribosomal RNA", at positions 47 to 643 of the family's 1478-position model. The record is from RNAcentral.
AGCCAUGCGAGUUAACGUAGCAAUACGUGGCAUACGGCUCAGUAACACGUAGUCAACAUGCCCAGGGGACGUGGAUAACCUCGGGAAACUGAGGCUAAACCGCGACAGGCCAAGAUUUCUGGAACGGAUCAUGGCUUAAAUCUAUAUGGCCCCUGGAUUGGACUGCGGCCGAUCAGGCUGUUGGUGAGAUAAUGGCCCACCAAACCUGUAACCGGUACGGGCUCUGAGAGGAGGAGCCCGGAGAUGGGCACUUAGACAAGGGCCCAGGCCCUAUGGGGCGCAGCAGGCGCGAAACCUCUGCAAUAAGCGAAAGCUUGACAGGGUUACUCUGAGUGAUUUCCGCUAAGGAAGUCUUUUGGCACCUCUAAAAAUGGUGCAAAAUAAGGGGUGGGCAAGUCUGGUGUCAGCCGCCGCGGUAAUACCAGCACCCCGAGUGGUCGGGACGAUUAUUGGGCCUAAAGCAUCCGUAGCCGGUCCUGCAAGUCCUCCGUUAAAUCCACCCGCUCAACGGUUGGGCCGCGGGGGAUACUACAGGGCUAGGAGGCGGGAGAGGCAAGCGGUACUCGAUGGGUAGGGGUAAAAUCCACU